This 228-nucleotide ribosomal RNA is filed under the name uncultured Burkholderiales bacterium. Its description in RNAcentral is "partial 16S ribosomal RNA". It matches the Rfam family "Bacterial small subunit ribosomal RNA", at positions 103 to 334 of the family's 1533-position model. The record is from RNAcentral. Lineage: Bacteria; Pseudomonadati; Pseudomonadota; Betaproteobacteria; Burkholderiales.
CGGGUGAGUAAUAUAUCGGAACGUGCCCAGUAAUGGGGGAUAGCCCGGCGAAAGCCGGAUUAAUACCGCAUACGACCUACGGGUGAAAGCGGGGGAUCGCAAGACCUCGCGUUAUUGGAGCGGCCGAUAUCAGAUUAGGUAGUUGGUGGGGUAAAGGCCUACCAAGCCUGCGAUCUGUAGUUGGUCUGAGAGGACGACCAGCCACACUGGGACUGAGACACGGCCCAG